Long non-coding RNA from Capsicum annuum, 618 nucleotides. RefSeq lists it as uncharacterized. The record is from RefSeq and is a predicted model, not a curated record. NCBI's taxonomy places the organism in Eukaryota, Viridiplantae, Streptophyta, Magnoliopsida, Solanales, Solanaceae. The transcript has 3 exons.
UUUCUCUUUCUCUGCUCUUCUUAGGGUAAUCCCAACCUUCUUUUCUUUUUUCUCUCCUCUUUCACCCGAGGAUUCGAAUUGCAUCACCAAACCAAUCUAUAUCUUUUCUCCUCUUUCAACAUAAACGUUUGUCAUCUAUCUCCUUUUGGUGUUUUGAUCACUUUUUUUAACAUGGCAGAUUAAAUAUGUCUCCCACAAGAAAAAAGUGAAAGUGAAUCAACUUUUGAUUGACCAAUAAAAAAGGCUAGAGUACAGAUGAGUUUGGAGGAAUAAGGUGCUUGCGCAUGGAACCACUUCAUAUGUGGGAGAUAUGGUUGAUCUGGUUUCGAACAUGGCAAUUCUGCUCGACACCAUGCAAAAACUUUAAAGGAUGGUUCAUGAACUCCAAUAAGAGUUGGGCGCCACGAGAGCAAGGGUGAUUCAUGAGAUUCAAAGGCUAAGGGCCCUGCUGCCACCCAAUGGGUUUUCGGUUGACAGUAAUAAUAAUAAUAGUAAUAAUUAGGUUAUGUUUUUCAUUUUAUCGUAUCUAUUUUGUUUUAUUUAUAUCGGAUCUACCUAAUGUAUAUUUUGUUUUAUAUGUAUUUUAUAUGUAAUAAAUGAAAAAAUUAUGUUUGGUCG